GGUAGGACUACCCGCUGAACUUAAGCAU
RNAcentral lists this ribosomal RNA (28 nucleotides) under Laccaria bicolor. RNAcentral describes it as "partial 28S ribosomal RNA". The record is from RNAcentral. Lineage: Eukaryota; Fungi; Basidiomycota; Agaricomycetes; Agaricales; Hydnangiaceae. RNAcentral also lists the same sequence under 3 other names.